AUGAGAGACUGCAGCCCAGAAACCCUUUUUCUCUACAUUUGGCCAGAAUGGCAGGACCUCCUAUCCUACAAACUGCCCAGCUUAGCCUUCCUGCACAGAGCCCUGUGUCUCCAGAUUCUAAAUACUCCUGAUGUGCACGCUGACCAUCUUUAUUUCCACCAUCCUGGUGGAAACCACCCUUCAGGACUCAGCUCAUACGUGAUGAGACAUCUCCCUGCUCUGGACUCAGCUGCCUGGUCUGUUUCUACCAUUGACCCAUCACACCAUAUGGCAUAUAAGAAAAUUGAGGCUCCAGACAGUUCAGUGACUGGUCUGAGGUCACACAACGAACAGGAUUCCAACAAGGUAGCUCCCUUAACCCCAUCAAUGUUUCCAUUUCAUACGUAGAUAAGUAAGAGGAGGAGGUUAAUUAUGAUUAAACAUCUAUUUUAUUUGCUUUAUGAUGUAGAUCUGUGCUUGGUGGUUUCUACAACAAAUUAUUUAAUUUCUAAUUCUGGAAAAUAAGCUCUAUGAUUUUAUCCAUCUUACCAAAAAUGAGGCUCAGAGAGUAACCCCCAAGGAUAUCCAAACAACAUGCCACCAGGCUGAGAUUUGAAGCCAGAACUUUCUGACUCUACACUAGGCUCUUUUCAUUCUUCCGUGGGAUGAGGGCUGCCGUAGACAAAGAUCUUCAAGGCACCAUGGAGCAAGGAAUAACUAACCCGUGAGAGUCUGGGGGGAUGGUGAAGAGCAGUGACCUAGUCUAAACUGUGAAGACAAAAAAAAAAAAAAAAUUUAGAUAAUC
This 784-nucleotide long non-coding RNA is filed under the name Capra hircus (goat). Its description in RNAcentral is "lncRNA (ENSCHIG00010030557.1)". Lineage: Eukaryota; Metazoa; Chordata; Mammalia; Artiodactyla; Bovidae. The record is from RNAcentral.